RNAcentral lists this ribosomal RNA (403 nucleotides) under uncultured bacterium. Its description in RNAcentral is "partial 16S ribosomal RNA". It matches the Rfam family "Bacterial small subunit ribosomal RNA", at positions 28 to 526 of the family's 1533-position model. The record is from RNAcentral.
GACGAACGCUGGCGGCGUGCCUAAUACAUGCAAGUCGAACGCAGUUGGGACGGGUGAGUAACACGUGGGUAACCUCCCCUCAGAGGUGAUAACACUUGGAAACAGGUGCUAAACCGAUACUGAUGGAUGGACCCGCGGUACAUUAGCUAGUUGGUGAGGUAACGGCUCACCAAGGCCACGAUGCAUAGCCGACCUGCGAGGGUGUUCGGCCGCACGGGGACACAGACACGGCCCAGCCUCCUGCGGGGGGCAGCAGUAGGGAAUCUUCGGCAAUGGACGAAAGUCUGACCGAGCAACGCCGCGUGAUUGAAGAAGGUUUUCGGAUCGUAAAACUCUGUUGUUAGAGAAGCGGUAUCUAACCAGAAAGCCACGGCUAACUACGAGCCAGCAGCCGCGGAAAUUC